UAAUAAAGUUUACAAGUCAUUUUCAUAUGAGCUUGAUUGCAAGACCCACUCGUCGAGCAGGGACGAAAGUCGGCCUUAAU
RNAcentral lists this ribosomal RNA (80 nucleotides) under Olea europaea subsp. europaea. Its description in RNAcentral is "PK-G12rRNA". Lineage: Eukaryota; Viridiplantae; Streptophyta; Magnoliopsida; Lamiales; Oleaceae. The record is from RNAcentral.